Molecule: ribosomal RNA, 510 nt
Filed under: uncultured bacterium
Lineage: Bacteria
Description: partial 16S ribosomal RNA
Rfam family: Bacterial small subunit ribosomal RNA
Source: RNAcentral
GACGAACGCUGGCGGCGUGCCUAACACAUGCAAGUCGAACGAAGAGCCAUGGAAGCUUGCCUCUAUCCAUCUUAGUGGCGAACGGGUGAGUAACGCGUAAUCCACCUGUCCUUGAGAGGGGUACAACCGUUGGAAACGACCGCUAAUCCCACAAACGAUCUAAUCUCGGCAUCCAGGAUAGAUGAACGGUGGCCUCUACACUUAAGCUCUCACCGAAGGCGGAUAUUUCGUCUGAUUAGCUAGUUGGUGGGGUACCGGCCCACCAAGGCGAUGGACAGUAGGCGGUCCGAGAGGAGGAACUGCCACAAUGGGACGGAGACACGGCCCAGAACCCUAGGGGAGGCAGCAGUGGGGGAACCUCCGCAAUGGACGGAAGGCUGAAGGAGCAACGCCGCGUGAGUGAUGGAGGCCUUCGGGUUGUAAAACUCUUGUAAUCGGGACGAAAGGAAUGCGUGCGUAUAGUGGGAAGUAUUGACGGUACCGGAAUAGAAAGCCACGGCUAACUACGUG